RNAcentral lists this ribosomal RNA (1062 nucleotides) under Triticum aestivum (bread wheat). RNAcentral describes it as "partial small subunit ribosomal RNA". The record is from RNAcentral. Lineage: Eukaryota; Viridiplantae; Streptophyta; Magnoliopsida; Poales; Poaceae.
AUGCUCAAUGCUCUGACCCAUCCUCCCUUGGCACUGGCAGGGAGGCGAAAAGGGUUGCUAGUCAUUGACCGGUCUCGAUCGGUCCGCAGCUCAGAGAAAGAAGAGCCUCAGCAUUCAAUGCCAGCUGGCCUGGUCAACCUGGGCCCGGCCGCAGCGCCAUUCAUCAAUCACCCAAGCGGGGCUUCGCCUACGUGCCGGUGGCCAUGCACACGAGCACUGUCGCCACUCACUGCUGCAUACGCAGUGGCUACAUGCCUCGCCAAUUUCAAAUGUCAACAGGUAGUAAUCAUUUCAUAUCGGACGUGUGCGCGGAACUGUUUCCGAAUUUCAAACGGUUCAACCUUGCCAACUGCGACCUGUGUUCGAUCUUUAUUGCAUCAGCUAAUUCUACGUAGUACUACCGGUGUUCGUGUAUGCUCAAUUUUACAUCAAUAUCUCCAUGUCGUCGACGCUGAGCUCCCCGGAGACAAGCUGCUCCCUACUGGUACCACCGCCACCGCCAGUGGUGUCCCCGCCGUCCCCCGUAUACGUGUACGCAUACGCGCCGUCGUGCUGGAGCUCCGCGUUCGCGCCGCCCUGCGCGGUGCCAGCGCCGGCGCGCGCCUCCGCGUAGUGCUGCCUGGGCACGCCGUCCCGCGCCGCCACGAGCUGCGCGUCGGCGGCCAUGCCCGCGUCGGACGCCACGCUCUGCACGGACCGCGGCGAGAGGGGCGCCACGGAGCCGGCACCGUACGCGGCGGCCGCACGCUCCGGGAAGUUGAGCCCAGCGGCGCCGUUGCCGGAGAGGGAGCCGCCGCGGAGGAAGUAGACGGCCGUGUCGUGCGCGACGGCGGCGGCCUCGGGCGUGGCGUAGGAGCCCAGCCACAGGCGCUCCCGCGUGCCGGGCACCCGGAUCUCCGACACCCACUUCCCCCACCGCCGCCGCCGCACGCCCUUGUACCGGCACCGCUCCUCCUCGCCGCCCCUCGCCACCGACGCCUCCGCGCUGCUCAUGGCUGGCUGACCACCUUCCGAGCCUCUGACCUCGCCUCUUUCUCAACGCACGGCCGAGCUUCCAAGUGA